CGGUUGAAAAGUUUUUUGAAAUUAGGGGUUGCAGGCUGUCAGGAACUCCCUAUAAUGCGCCUCCACU
RNAcentral lists this ribosomal RNA (67 nucleotides) under Yersinia pestis PY-53. RNAcentral describes it as "partial 16S ribosomal RNA". The record is from RNAcentral. Lineage: Bacteria; Pseudomonadati; Pseudomonadota; Gammaproteobacteria; Enterobacterales; Yersiniaceae.